AGGACGAACGCUGGCGGCGUGCCUAAUACAUGCAAGUCGAGCGAACCGAUGAAGAGCUUGCUCUCAAAGGUGAGCGGCGGACGGGUGAGUAACACGUGGGCAACCUGCCUGCAAGAUCGGGAUAACUCCGGGAAACCGGGGCUAAUACCGGAUAAUGCAUUUCGCUGCAUGGCGGAAUGCUAAAAGGCGGCUUCGGCUGUCACUUGCAGAUGGGCCCGCGGCGCAUUAGCUAGUUGGGGAGGUAACGGCUCCCCAAGGCGACGAUGCGUAGCCGACCUGAGAGGGUGAUCGGCCACACUGGGACUGAGACACGGCCCAGACUCCUACGGGAGGCAGCAGUAGGGAAUUUUCCGCAAUGGGCGCAAGCCUGACGGAGCAACGCCGCGUGAGUGAGGACGGCUUUCGGGUUGUAAAACUCUGUUCUUCGGGAAGAACGGCGGUCGGGUGAAUAGCCCGAUUGCGUGACGGUACCGAAGGAGAGAGCCCCGGCUAACUACGUGCCAGCCGCCGC
This 511-nucleotide ribosomal RNA is filed under the name uncultured bacterium. RNAcentral describes it as "bacterial SSU rRNA". It matches the Rfam family "Bacterial small subunit ribosomal RNA", at positions 26 to 518 of the family's 1533-position model. The record is from RNAcentral.